GACGAACGCUGGCGGCGUGCCUAAUACAUGCAAGUUGAGCGCUGAAGGUUGGUACUUGUACCGACUGGAUGAGCAGCGAACGGGUGAGUAACGCGUGGGGAAUCUGCCUUUGAGCGGGGGACAACAUUUGGAAACGAAUGCUAAUACCGCAUAAAAACUUUAAACACAAGUUUUAAGUUUGAAAGAUGCAAUUGCAUCACUCAAAGAUGAUCCCGCGUUGUAUUAGCUAGUUGGUGAGGUAAAGGCUCACCAAGGCGAUGAUACAUAGCCGACCUGAGAGGGUGAUCGGCCACAUUGGGACUGAGACACGGCCCAAACUCCUACGGGAGGCAGCAGUAGGGAAUCUUCGGCAAUGGACGAAAGUCUGACCGAGCAACGCCGCGUGAGUGAAGAAGGUUUUCGGAUCGUAAAACUCUGUUGGUAGAGAAGAACGUUGGUGAGAGUGGAAAGCUCAUCAAGUGACGGUAACUACCCAGAAAGGGACGGCUAACCACGUG
RNAcentral lists this ribosomal RNA (497 nucleotides) under uncultured bacterium. Its description in RNAcentral is "partial 16S ribosomal RNA". It matches the Rfam family "Bacterial small subunit ribosomal RNA", at positions 28 to 507 of the family's 1533-position model. The record is from RNAcentral.